RNAcentral lists this long non-coding RNA (579 nucleotides) under Triticum aestivum (bread wheat). Its description in RNAcentral is "long non-coding RNA (TAES_LNC007603)". The record is from RNAcentral. Lineage: Eukaryota; Viridiplantae; Streptophyta; Magnoliopsida; Poales; Poaceae.
UUUGAUGUAUAAUUCCGUAUGAAGACAUUUAUUUACUACCCCUAUAUGCAAAAUAUGGCGAUGAACAAAUACUACCGGCUGCUCGUAUUUGUUCAAGGAGACGACAUAUCCAUUACAAAUAGUGAAUUUUAGUAUUUCACUCUAUUCAUGUUGCCCUUAUGUAUCAUGUAUUAUACUAUGUGCCUAGAAAAUACACCCAAAAGGAAGCUGCAGAGAAAGGACCAGUGGAGCACUGAUCAAUCUAGCAAGCAUUUGUCAGUAAGGACUCACAUUAAAAUCUGACGAAAUGACUAAUCGAGUACAACCCUUUUGUGCAGCAUUAAAGUGCAGGCUGUUGACUUGUAUGAGUGCCACAAGUUCCAGUUCUUGCCAUCAGAGAGUCAGGGAGCCACGGGCAGCGGAGGUUAUUUCAUCUAGAACAGAGUGGCGACGAACAAUCAAAAUCAAAUAAAUGAAAUCGACAAGAUUGCUUCCAGUCAAUGGGAAUGAAGGACGAUGGAGAAGAUAACACACUAGUGAGUGAAGUUGAUGUCGCCCCUCGUGCGCGCUUAUGGUCUGCCAUGGGGGGAGCGGGGAGGG